UGGGGAAUAUUGGACAAUGGACCAAAAGUCUGAUCCAGCAAUUCUGUGUGCACGAUGAAGUUUUUCGGAAUGUAAAGUGCUUUCAGUUGGGAAGAAGAAAGUGACGGUACCAACAGAAGAAGCGACGGCUAAAUACGUGCCAGCAGCCGCGGUAAUACGUAUGUCGCAAGCGUUAUCCGGAUUUAUUGGGCGUAAAGCGCGUCUAGGCGGUUUGGUACGUCUGAUGUGAAAAUGCGGGGCUCAACUCCGUAUUGCGUUGGAAACUGCCAAACUAGAGUACUGGAGAGGUAGGCGGAACUACAAGUGUAGAGGUGAAAUUCGUAGAUAUUUGUAGGAAUGCCGAUGGGGAAGCCAGCCUACUGGACAGAUACUGACGCUAAAGCGCGAAAGCGUGGGUAGCAAACAGGAUUAGAUACCCUGGUAGUCCACGCCGUAACGAUGAUUACUAGGUGUUGGGGGUCGAACCUCAGCGCCCAAGCUAACGCGAUAAGUAAUCCGCCUGGGGAGUACGUACGCAAGUAUG
This 523-nucleotide ribosomal RNA is filed under the name uncultured bacterium. Its description in RNAcentral is "bacterial SSU rRNA". It matches the Rfam family "Bacterial small subunit ribosomal RNA", at positions 355 to 896 of the family's 1533-position model. The record is from RNAcentral.